GUAGGUGAACCUGCGGAAGGAUCAUUAAUGAAACUUCAAGUCGGCUGUUCUGUGCUGGUGGCAACACAUGUGCACGUUCAGUCGCAAUCCACACACCUGUGCACUUUGACUCUGAGCACCGCCGGUAACACGGCAGAAGGUUUGAGAUGAAGGUCUUAACCCCGGUACUCGAGUAGUUUACACACUCUGUAUGUAAUAGAAUGUAACUGUACAAUGUACAACUAUAAACAACUUUCAACAACGGAUCUCUUGGCUCUCGCAUCGAUGAAGAACGCAGCGAAAUGCGAUAAGUAAUGUGAAUUGCAGAAUUCAGUGAAUCAUCGAAUCUUUGAACGCACCUUGCACCCUUUGGUAUUCCGAAGGGUACACCCGUUUGAGUGUCAUUGUAAUCUCACUCCAACACCUUUAUUGAUGUURGAUGUGGACUUGGAUGUUGUCGUGUUCAAYGACUCRUCUUAAAUGCCUGAGUGUACCCUGCUUUGCAGCGUAUCAGUGUGAUAAACAUCUUCACUGUUAAGUCUUUCGGGACACGCUUGUGUUGUAGGCUCUAUGCUUUCCAACCGUCCUCUGGACAAUCUCUGACAAUUUGACCUCAAAUCGGGUGGGACUACCCGCUGAACUUAAGCAUAUCAAUAAGCGGAGGAAAAGAAACUAACAAGGAUUCCCCUAGUAACGGCGAGUGAAGAGGGAAAAGCUCAAAUUUUGAAUCUGGUGUCUUUGACUCCCGAGUUGUAAUCUAGAGAAGUGUUUUCCGCGUUGGACCGUGCAAAAGUUCCCUGGAACGGGGCGUCAUAGAGGGUGAGAAUCCCGUAUAUGGCACGGACUACCAUUGCUAUGUGAUACACUCUCAACGAGUCGAGUUGUUUGGGAAUGCAGCUCAAAAUGGGUGGUAAAUUCCAUCUAAAGCUAAAUAUUGGCGAGAGACCGAUAGCGAACAAGUACCGUGAGGGAAAGAUGAAAAGCACUUUGGAAAGAGAGUGAAACAGUACGUGAAAUUGUUGAAAGGGAAGCGUUUGAAGUCAGUCACGUCUGUCGGAAUUCAGCCUGGCUUCUGCCUGGUGUAUUUUCUGGCUGACGGGUCAGCAUCAAUUUCGACCGAGGGAAAAAGACUUGGGGAAUGUGGCUGUCUUYGGGCAGUGUUAUAGACCCUUGUUGUAUAUCUCGGUUGGGAUUGAGGAACGCAGCGCGCC
Molecule: ribosomal RNA, 1190 nt
Filed under: uncultured Sebacina
Lineage: Eukaryota; Fungi; Basidiomycota; Agaricomycetes; Sebacinales; Sebacinaceae
Description: eukaryotic LSU rRNA
Rfam family: Eukaryotic large subunit ribosomal RNA (bases 588-1190)
Source: RNAcentral